UACGUAGGGUGCGAGCGUUAAUCGGAAUUACUGGGCGUAAAGUGUGCGUAGGCGGCCGCGCAAGUCGAGUGUGAAAUCCCCGAGCUUAACUUGGGAAUUGCGCUCGAAACUACGUGGCUGGAGUGUGGCAGAGGAAGGUGGAAUUCCACGUGUAGCGGUGAAAUGCGUAGAGAUGUGGAGGAACACCGAUGGCGAAGGCAGCCUUCUGGGCCAGCACUGACGCUCAUGCACGAAAGCGUGGGGAGCAAACAGG
RNAcentral lists this ribosomal RNA (253 nucleotides) under uncultured bacterium. RNAcentral's name for it is "partial 16S ribosomal RNA". It matches the Rfam family "Bacterial small subunit ribosomal RNA", at positions 524 to 776 of the family's 1533-position model. The record is from RNAcentral.